ACAAAGAAAACAAAAACUAUCCCUUACUGAGAUAGUGAGUGAUAUACUAAAGUGCCUGAAUAAAAGCAGCUCAACACAAAAAGUGGAAUACCUUAAUCCACAAUAAAGUGCAAAAUACAAGAAAAAAAGGUAUAAACAAUAUACCAGCGAGUGGAGCGCUAUAAUGAAUAUAUAUAUAAAUAAUGAGGGGGUAUACUCACCCCUCCA
Molecule: long non-coding RNA, 207 nt
Filed under: Pelobates cultripes (western spadefoot toad)
Lineage: Eukaryota; Metazoa; Chordata; Amphibia; Anura; Pelobatidae
Source: RNAcentral